RNAcentral lists this ribosomal RNA (130 nucleotides) under Paenibacillus odorifer. RNAcentral describes it as "partial 23S ribosomal RNA". It matches the Rfam family "Bacterial large subunit ribosomal RNA", at positions 2791 to 2925 of the family's 2925-position model. The record is from RNAcentral. Lineage: Bacteria; Bacillati; Bacillota; Bacilli; Caryophanales; Paenibacillaceae.
AGCCCCCCUCAAGAUGAGAUUUCCCAAUUAGUAAGACCCCUUGAAGACGACGAGGUAGAUAGGUUGGAGGUGGAAGUGCAGCAAUGCAUGGAGCUGACCAAUACUAAUCGGUCGAGGGCUUAUCCUAAAA